UACGUAGGGCGCGAGCGUUGUCCGGAUUUAUUGGGCGUAAAGAGCUCGUAGGCGGCUUGUCGCGUCGACUGUGAAAACUUGGGGCUCAACCCCAAGCUUGCAGUCGAUACGGGCAGGCUAGAGUUCGGUAGGGGAGACUGGAAUUCCUGGUGUAGCGGUGAAAUGCGCAGAUAUCAGGAGGAACACCGAUGGCGAAGGCAGGUCUCUGGGCCGAUACUGACGCUGAGGAGCGAAAGCGUGGGGAGCGAACAGG
Molecule: ribosomal RNA, 253 nt
Filed under: uncultured bacterium
Lineage: Bacteria
Description: partial 16S ribosomal RNA
Rfam family: Bacterial small subunit ribosomal RNA
Source: RNAcentral